This 1246-nucleotide long non-coding RNA is filed under the name Vulpes vulpes (red fox). Its description in RNAcentral is "lncRNA (ENSVVUG00000028466.1)". Lineage: Eukaryota; Metazoa; Chordata; Mammalia; Carnivora; Canidae. The record is from RNAcentral.
AUAAAAAAAGCAUUCUUUAUGUAAUUUCCUGGUUCAGAAACUAUUUUUAAGGAUUUUAAUAAUAAUAAAUCUUAAACAUACAUUCAAGUAGAGAAAAUAGUUUAACCCGCAUACCACCAUCACCCAGAGCCCCAAAUUUUCAAGUUUAACCCCUCCUGUUUCUUCAUUCCCCCUUGUACCAAGAGUAAUUUAAAAAUUUUUUUGAGUAAUUUAAAAAUUUUGAUCACAAAUCCCAGAUAUGUUACUUUUGGUAUGUAUUUCAGUAUGCAUCUCUAAAACAUAUGAAUGUUUUCUUUCUUAACCACAAUGCUUUCAUCAGCUCAAUUAGCAUCAACUUAAAAUUAACAAUUCCUGGAUAUCAUCUCAACUUCCCUGAUAGUUUCCAAAGAGUAAGAACAUCAUUUAAAAGAAGGCCUGUUUUUCAGCCUGUGCAGAAAGCCGUGCUGGGAACUGACAAGAGAAGGCAGCAAUUAAAUUCAAGAAGCAGAUAGUGCUGAAGGCCUGCCAGCCACACCAAAGAGCUUCUCACAAGAAGGCAUGAGCCAGGUUGAGGCAGCUUCACAAGGGGAAGAAUGGCCUGUUUGGGACCAGAAGCCAUGACUCGAAUGAGGCUAACAAUACACAAAGCACAGGCACCAUAUAGAAGAGUCAUUUUCCUCCUCUCAGGCUUCAUCAUAGUAACUGUCAUUACAAGGCAGACAGAGAUCCAUUGGAUGGAGGUGUACCUGGAUUUCCAGUCCUGGCUCUGCUAUGUAGGGUCUUGGAUGACCUAUGACAGGUUGGAUUUGGUCACAAAUCCAGAAACGACUUCAUGUCACUGAGGUAUUACUCUGCUGCUAUCUAUGUCCAAGCCCAUUUUUAUAUAGUUUUAUAGUCUUGUCUCUCAUACUACGCACCUACCAGCCAGACACACCUGGGCAGGCAAGGAGAGCGGGAGUACUGGUGUUUGCUGCAUAUCUACUAUGUGCUGAGCACGGACACUUUAAGGUCAAAAGAGGACUCUUCAUACAAGAUGGCUGAAAUUGAGCAAACACACAAUCCCAGAUGGUUUCAGACAGCAGGAUAAAAAUGAGUAAACCAAUAUGGGUUCAUUGAAGAUAACGAAUGUACCACUCUGUGUUGAGUGUGUGUAUAUGGGGGGGUGGGGGGCGGAGGGUACAUAGGAACUUUGUAUUUUCUCUUCAGUUUUGCAUGGACCUGAAACUCUUCUAAAAUAAAAUCUACUUUAAAAAAAUGAAAUGAAACA